This 372-nucleotide ribosomal RNA is filed under the name uncultured bacterium. Its description in RNAcentral is "bacterial SSU rRNA". It matches the Rfam family "Bacterial small subunit ribosomal RNA", at positions 524 to 898 of the family's 1533-position model. The record is from RNAcentral.
UACGGAGGAUCCGAGCGUUAUCCGGAUUUACUGGGUUUAAAGGGUGCGUAGGCGGCUCCCUCAGUCAGCGGUGAAAUGUAUCGGCUCAACCGAUAACCUGCCGUUGAUACUGGGGAGCUUGAGUUGGGUUGAGGCAGGCGGAAUGUGCGGUGUAGCGGUGAAAUGCUUAGAUAUCGCACAGAACGCCGAUUGCGUAGGCAGCUUGCCAAGCCCACACUGACGCUGAGGCACGAAAGCGUGGGGAUCAAACAGGAUUAGAUACCCUGGUAGUCCACGCCGUAAACGAUGAUAGCUCGCUGUUGGCAAUACACCGCCAGCGGCCAAGCGAAAGCGAUAAGCUAUCCACCUGGGGAGUACGGCCGCAAGGCUGAA